Sphaerodactylus townsendi is the source of this 173-nucleotide long non-coding RNA. RefSeq lists it as uncharacterized. NCBI's taxonomy places the organism in Eukaryota, Metazoa, Chordata, Lepidosauria, Squamata, Sphaerodactylidae. The transcript has 4 exons. The record is from RefSeq and is a predicted model, not a curated record.
UGGAGGAACCGGCUGCUGAUGUGGUGCCCCCUUCCCUGUUUGGCCCUCGCCCGACCCGGACAACUGGGUCAUUGUCAUCCAACGAGGCCACCAUGCCUCCCCUGGGGGGUGGGGAGGGAAUUUUAAAAUUAAGAUGUUGGGCCCAUUUAUAUUUUUACUCCUCUGAUAAUUGU